GUGGAUGCGUAGCCGCGGUGAUGGCUACUGACAUGAUCAGACCUCACAGAGUCUGAGCACUUGGAAUCAAAACCCUACAGUCAGAUUGCAUUUGGCAUUUGAUGUUUCAUGGGUGUUCCCAAGGCGUGGCCAGCUCAUGGUUACUUGGUGUUAAUGUGCACAAUGUUUAAUGAUAGAUUAUAAAAAGAUGGAAAAACCCAACAUUGUCACUAUGAUUAUCAACAAAUCAUGU
Thalassophryne amazonica is the source of this 232-nucleotide long non-coding RNA. RefSeq lists it as uncharacterized. The record is from RefSeq and is a predicted model, not a curated record. NCBI's taxonomy places the organism in Eukaryota, Metazoa, Chordata, Actinopteri, Batrachoidiformes, Batrachoididae. The transcript is spliced from 3 exons.